Molecule: long non-coding RNA, 14124 nt
Filed under: Nicotiana tabacum (common tobacco)
Lineage: Eukaryota; Viridiplantae; Streptophyta; Magnoliopsida; Solanales; Solanaceae
Description: long non-coding RNA (NTAB_LNC009537)
Source: RNAcentral
GCCCAUAUCCCUCAACCCUAAAAAUCCUACAUCUCCUCAUUCUUGAAAAAACUAGUGACACACACACUCAAAAAAAGAAGAACGAUCAGAGAUGGAAAUCGGCUGCCUCCCUCAAAGACUCAACUCCUCCCAAUUUCCAACAAUACCUCCUAGCUUCAAAGAGCUAAAAUUUUCCGCCUCCAACUCCAAAAAUCAUCCAUACUCUCCAACACCCAGCAGCCUAAACACACACACAUAUAUAGAAUGAGAUAAAAAAAAAGGGGAAACGACAAAGAGGGGGAGGGGAAUUGAACGAAAAAUCAGAGAGGAAAUCUUGAGAGAAAAGGUUUGAGAUAAGGUUCUUCUCAUUCUUCCAUCUUGAUUCUUUUUUGAUUGUUUUUCAGAAAAUACAGACCAAAAAAAAUUCUCCAUUUCUUGUCCUCAAAUUCAAAAAAAUAUAUUUCUUCUUUCAGUUUGGAUUUUGAUUUCCAUAUGGAGUUUGAUUGAAGACGUAUUCGAGUCGAAGUUCCUCCUCUAUUCUGAGUUCCCCGCCGUGAGUAGAUUUCCGUUUUGGUUCGCGAUUAUUGUUAGAUUUUGCUUCAGAUUGUAUUCAAAGGCUUAUUUUUGAAUAAAAGUUCAAGAGAAAUUGGCUGAAAUUUUGCUAUUCGCUGCUGAUUAUUUCUCAAAUGAACUCAAGGCAUUAGGUACAUACCCACUAAUUUGUCAUUUACCUUUUUUAAUCAAUGAUUUGAAUUGCUUGAAAGGUCGUGAAUCUAUUGCUUCUGCUGUUCCUUGGGUAUAUAUACACCUAAUAGGAUACUCAAUUGAUUUAAAUUUUACCCGUCAUGCUUAAACUAAUUGUGAUUUUGUGACUAGUCAUAAUUUGGGGAAGUGAAGGCUCAUCUGUGAGAAUAUUAAACUGUGUAUGUUCUUCAGUUGAUUCUGUGAGUGAUACUGGGUGUUUGAAGAACCUCGCUGUCAAAUUAUAAUCCAUGUAAUUCAUUAUUGUAAACCCCAAAGGCCUUGAGUAAAUAUGUUGUUUAAUAUAAUGUAUGAAUUGAGAUGUUAUUAACUAGGAACUAAUAUUCACACUGUUUCAUUCGAAUCCCUACCAUGUUUAACCAUGAAUGUGCUUAAGAGUUUUAUGGAUAAGUUUAUUAAUCUGAUGUCAUAUGUAGAAAUAGAAAAAAAAUUAUUUUCAUUUAUUAGAUCCAAAAAAGGAAAAUAACAAAUUGAAGUCUUGGAAUGAAAUGUGUGGUCUAGUUGUUAAAAGAUUUGGACCGGAAUAACCUUCAUUGCACCUUGGGCUUUUAGUUAAAUGCUGACAUUUUUUUGUGUAAUCUCAAACUUAGGAAAGAAAUAAAUCUUGAAUAAUCUCUAGUAUGCUUUAGGCGCGUAUUAAUAAAUAAAUUAUCGUGAUUAUAUACACGUGCGCGUGAUAUAGUUAUAAUUUUUAAACUUAAAACUAAGGUACACGUUCGCAUGACUUUGUCCAAAAAAUCUUAAUAAUUAAUAAAGCGUGAUAGAUUGUGUACACAUAUGCGUGACAUGAUUUUAGCUCCCCAAAUAAAAGGGAUUUACGCACAUGUAAUCCGUUUCAAAGAUUAAAUCCAUAAAUGCCAUAAUCUAAAAGCGGUAGAAGGUAAAAUUUACAUAGGUUCUAAAAUAAAAAAUAUUAAACAAUUUAAUUAAUCCAGGUAUGAUUAAAGAGACCGUGCUAAAACCACAGAACCCGAGAAUGCAUAUCUCCUUCUCCCGGAUUAACAAAAUUUCUUACCUGGUCUUCUGGUUUCGAAGACUUUAGAGCAGAUUCAAACUUUCCCUGAUUUGGGAUUUAAAAUAAAUCGGUGACUUUGGAUACCAUAAAUUAUUCCAAGUGACGACUUUGAAUUAAAUAAAUUAUCCCAUUUCGAUUAAUGUCAAUUAGAGAAACUCCCCAUCCCUAUACCCUCGGGAAAAAAGAGGUGUGACAAUGAACGUUGUUGGAGCAUUUGUCAUCCCAAAAGACAUCACAAGGAACUCACAAUGGCCAUAACGGGUCCUAAACGCUGUCGUAAGAAUAUCCGGGUCCCGAAUCUUCAACUGGUGAUACCCAAACCUCAAAUCAAUCUUGGAGAACACCCUCGCUCCCUGAAGCUGGUCAAAUAGGUCAUCAAAGGAUACUUGUUCUUGAUUGUGACUUUGUUGAAUUACCUAUAAUCAAUAGACAUUCCCAUAAUACUAUCCUUCUUCUUCAUGAACAGAAUAGGUGCACCCCAAGGUGACACACUAGGCCUAAAAAACCCCUUCUCAAGGAGUUCCUAAAUCUACUCCCUCAACUCCUUCAACUCAAUCGGUGCCAUACGGUAUGGAGGAAUAGAAAUACGCUGAGUGCCUGGCACUAAGUCAAUACCAAAAUCAAUGUCCCUAUUGGGUGACACGCCUGACAGGUCUGCAAGAAAUAUAUCCGGAAACUCUUGCACCACCUGAACAGAAUCAAUAGUAGGGGUCUCAGCACUAACAUCCCUUACAAAGGCCAAAUAAGAUAAACAAUCCUUCCCAACCAUCCGCGGGGCCCUUCAAGUAUGAAAUCACUCUACUGGGAACAUAGUCUAAUGAACCAUGCCACUCAAUCCAUGGCAACCCUGACAUCACCAACAUCACAGUCUUAGCAUGACAAUCCAAAACAGCAUGACAUGGAGACAACCAAUCCAUACCCAAAAUCACGUCAAAAUCAACUAUACUAAGUAGCAAGAGAUCAACUCUAGUCUCCAAUCUCCUAAUAGUCACUACACACAACCGAUACACUCUGUCCACAAUAAUAGUAUCACCCAUUGGCGUGGAUAUACGAACAGAUAAAGCUAAAGACUCACGGGGCAUAUCCAGAUAAUAAGUAAAAAACGACGAUAGAUAUGAAUAGGUAGAACCAGGGUCAAGCAAUAAAGAAGCUUCUCGAUGACAUAAUGAGACAAUACUUGUGAUCACUAUGUUUGAAGCGAUAACAUCUGGUCUGGCAGGGAGUGCAUAGAAAUGGGCCUGGGCGCCACCUAAUCAGUCCCCUCUCUAGGGCGACCCCUAUGAUGUUAUGAGGAUAUAAAAUAGUUUCCUUUGGUUACAUUAUGAUAACAUGUACAUUUUAACCUUUUGUUACUUCUGGGUUUAAUAAUUUAGGAUAUAAACAUUUUUGAAUGUUUAAUACUUUGCUAUUAUCAUGAAGAAAUUUGGCGGUAUAAAUAAAAACCCUCAAUGUUUAAUUCUCAUAUUUGAGCCAUGUGAAUGAAGAAAUACCUAGUAGGAAGUGUUUCCUCCUAAAAUAGGCUAUACACGAUUCAAAUCUAGAUUAGUCGAACUAGUAACUUUUGAAUACCAAGUAAUUAAAAAAAGUACUUUGUUAUCAGUGUGGUCGUGACAGAUUUCUUGUUUGAUUUUUGCUUACGUGACGACCCGACCAGUCGUCUCAUAAGUUUCCGCUCCGUUUCCCCCAUUUCUACUUUUUUAUGCUUCGUUAUUCAUGUUUUAUGUGAGCGAGUUGGGUAGUUUGCGUUCAGAGUGGAUUUGGUAAGAAAUGAGACACUUAGUCUUUUUCAAGAAGGUUUAAGUUGGAAAAGUCAACCAGAUGUUGACUUAUGUAUUAGAGGGCUCAGAUGUGAGUUCCGAUAAUUUGGUUAGCUUCAAGAGGUGAUUUAUGACUUGGGAGUGUGAUCGGAAUUGGUUUUGGAGGUCCGGUGUAGAAUUAGGCUUGAAUUGGAGAAGUUAGUAUUUUGGCGAUCUCCGGUUGGUAGGUGAGAUUUUGAUCCAGGGGCCGGAAUAGAAUUUCGAAUGUUGCUGUAGCUUCAUUAUGUCAUUUGGGAGGUGUGUGCGAAAUUUUAGGUCAUUCAGACGUGGUUUGGUCGGGUUUUUGAUCGAAAACGUAUUUCGGGAGAUUUCUCAAAAAUUAGGCUUGAAUUUUGAUGAGUUUUGGGUAAUUUGAUGUUGUUUGAGGUGUUUUGAUGAUUGGAACAAGUUUGAAUAAGGUAUUGGGUCAUGUUGGUGCUUUUGGUUGAGAUCCCGGGGCCUCGAGGUGAAUUCGGAUGGUUAACGGGAAGAUUUUGGACUUAAGAGAUCUCAAAAGUUGUUGCUUCUAGUAUUUCAGAUCCAGCGGAUUGGGGACCGCAGGUGCGGUGCCGCACAUGUAGAAGAAGAGCCGCAGAAGCAGUUUGGGAAGAAUAGCCAAGGACCGUAGAUGCGUUACAAGGACCGCACCUACGGAGUCGCAGAUGCAGCUCGUGGACCGCAUAUGAGGAACCUGGCCUCCUAAGUGAUUUCUGUAGAUGCGCAGGAAUUACCGCAGAAGCGGUACCACAGGAGCGGUGGUGGGGUUGCAGAUGCGAAAAAGCCCUGAUUAGAAAGUUUAUAAGUUAUUUCAUCCGCGAUUUUGAGCCAUUUUUUCCUCCAUAGCUAAGUAUUUUGAGAGCUUUUUGAAGGUGAUUAAAGAGGGAUUCAAGGAGAAUUGAUUGGAGGUAAGACUUUCGAACAUAAAACUUGAAUCUAUUGUGAAAUUAACCUAGAGAUUCCUGGAACUUAAGCUAAAAAUGGAAGAAAUAGGGCUUGGGAUUUUGAGUUUUUUAUUUGGGGAUUUGGAGGACCAUUUGGGGUCGGAUUUGAGAACUUUCGAUAUGUAUGAACUCGUGGAAGGAUAAGGAACCUGUUGAUGUAAAAAUAUUAGAGUUUCGAGAAGUGGUCCUGAGGCUCGGGUUUUGCUAAUUUCGGGAUUAUUGAUAUUUUUCGAUUGUUUUUGCUUGGGCUUUGUUCCCUUAGCAUUUUGUGACGUAUUCGUUCUGAUUUUGGAUAGAUUCGAUGCGCGUGGAGGACGAUUCGAGGGUAAAAGGUGUCCCGAGCUAGAGUGGUAGCCGGUUCGAGGUGAGUAAUGAUCGUAAAUGAUGUCCUGAGGGUUUGAAACCCCAGAUUUGCAUAUCGUAGUGCUAUAUUUAGGUGAGACACGCACUGGAUGAUGAUCGUGGGGUCUUUUACUAUUGGGGAUUGAGACUUGGUCCGUCCCGAUUGAUGAUUUUACCACAUAUUUGAUUGAAACUUAUUUGUUAUCAUCAUGAUUUGGGCUAAUUGCCAUAUUUGGUCUUCUUGCCAACUAUUUGAACCCUUCGGGGAUUUUGACUGAUUUUCCUCACUCUACUUGUUAAAAAUCAUAUCCUCAGUCAUGUUUCUAUUUGUUUUAAACGAUUUGAGCUGGUUUUAUCAUACUAUUCCUAAAUGAGAGGAAUUUGUAGGCUGAGAUCCCUAUCUUCUAUUAUGGUGCCCGAGAGGCUGUGAGGUUAAUGACUGAGAGAGGUUGAGAACCCAAUGGUGAGGAUAUUAUAUAUGUUAUGGACCAGGAUGCACACCGCAGCUAUACAUAUAUUGGAUCGAGCUGCAUGUCGCAUCGAUAUAGCGCUUGGGCUGUUGGAGCCCCUCUAGAGUCUGCACACCCCCAGUGAGCGCAGUCGACUAUCUAUAUGGAUCGGGCUGCAUGCCGCAGUGGUUAUUCUGAUUUCUGUUAUUAUGAGAGAUAUAUGGGUCGAGAGCUGAUAUUGAGCACUAAGUGAUGAGAGUGAGUCCGAGGAGCUGACACUAUUCUGAGUGAUUGAUACUGUGCCCGAGGGGCGGAUUUCCACUUGUUAAUUGCCUACUAAAUUACAUGUUUUACCAGAUUUAAAGAGACUUUACUUGACUUCUUCACUGAUUUACUACUUUAUGUGAUUAUUACUGCUUUGAUAUAGAAUUGCUUUGUGCCUUUACGUGUUUUCUUGCUUUCAGCCAUUAUUUAUAUUUAUUAAUCACUGGGUCGGUGUACUAACAUUCUCCCUGCAUCGUGUGUACAGAUUCAGGCAUCGCAGAGUCUGUUCCUGAGUGUUGAUCUUCCUAGUUCAGACAGUGUUUUCGGAGACUACGAGGUAGCGGUUGGCGUCCGUAGCCCCCGUGCCUCCCUUAUCUUACUAUUUUCAUGUUCUUGAACUUCUGUAUCGGGGUUUAUAUCUAGUAGACUGGUAUCCGGAUUAAUUAGUUGCUCAUGACUUGUGACACCCCGAUUUGGGCUGUAUUAGGAUGGUUUCUAAUGUUGUUAUCAUUAUUUCCGCAUAUAUUUUAGAACUAUUUAUGGUAUUUAACUAUUUAAAUGAGGUGUUCUGUUUGGUUUGGCUGGCCUUGUCUUCACGAGAGGCGCCAUCACGAUCAAGUUUGGGGUUAGGGUCGUGACAAGUUGGUAUCAGAGCCUAGGUUACAUAGGUCUCACGAGUCAUGAGCAGGUUUAGUAGAGUCUCGCGGAUCGGUAUGGAGAUGUUUGUAUCUAUCCUCGAGAGGCUGCAGAACCUUUAGGAAAAACUUCAUAUUCUUGGAAUUCUUGUCGCGCGAACUUGUUGGUCCGAGUACUAAACUUCUGUUAUUCCAUUCUCUCACAGAUGUUGAGGACGCGAGCUACCGGACGAGGUGGACGACCACUAGUGCCACCAGUAGAGACCACCAGAGGCCAUAGAUGUGGUCGUGGCAGAGGCAGAGCAGUGAGGGCAGCACCUGUAGAUCCACCAGCUGCCCUAGCUCCGGAUCAAGCUCCAACUAUGGAUGCUCCAGCAGCACUGGUUCAGGCACCAGCUGUGCCCAUCGUGAUUUCGGGUCUUCAGGAGGCCUUGACACAGAUCCUAUCAGUUUGCACUACCCUAACUCAGGUAGUUUCAUCCACUAUAGCAGCAACUACUUCAUAGGCCCGGGGAGGCAAUCAGACCCCCGCUGCUCGCACCCCUGAGUAGGUAGUGCAGGGACUUUAGACGCCGGGGGAACCUCCAGCCCAACCGGUUGCACCAGCUCAGGAGUUUGUUAUGCUAGUUAUGCUGGAUGAUGAGCAACAUCGUCUUGAAAGGUUUGGUAGACUCCAGCCUUCGUCAUUCAGUGGUGCUGAGGGCGAGGAUACCCAAGGUUUUCUAGAUAAGUGACAGCGGAUGCUCCAUACAGCAGGGAUUAUUGAGUCUAGUGGUGUGGCAUUUACCAGCUUUCAGUUUUUUGGGGCUGCCUUCACUUGGUGGGAGGCGUAGGUCGGUUGGUGCAACACCCCUUUCUUGGCAGGAGUUCUCCACUCUCUUCUUGGAGAAGUAUGUACCACAGUCCCGCAAAGAUGAGCUGUGUAGGCAGUUUGAGUGGCUGAAGUAGGGGGAUAUGACUGUGUCACAGUAUGAGGUGAGGUAUUCUGAGUUGGCUCGCCAUGCCGUCUGGAUGGUUCCGAUAGACCGUGAGAGGAUCAUGAGAUUUGUUGAUGGCCUAAAUUACCAUAUCUGUAUUCUUAUGACUAGAGAGAGAGUAUUGGGUGCUGCGUUUGAGGAGGUGGUUGAUAUCGCGCUCGAGAUUGAGACGGUUCGCCGUCAGGAUCUAGAGGAGAGGGAGUCCAAGAGGCCUCGAGGAUCGGGCAGUUACAGUGGUGCUCCUUCGAGGGGCCAGUCCCAGCAUGGUAGAAGUAGUUCUUUCAGGUUCGGUCAAUCAGCCCGUCCAAAGUUUCGCGGGGCAUAUUCGGGUCAUGGUCAUCAUGGAUCUCAGCGGGGCCAGUCAUCACUCAGUGCCCUACCAGCCCAGAGNNNNNNNNNNNNNNNNNNNNNNNNNNNNNNNNNNNNNNNNNNNNNNNNNNNNNNNNNNNNNNNNNNNNNNNNNNNNNNNNNNNNNNNNNNNNNNNNNNNNNNNNNNNNNNNNNNNNNNNNNNNNNNNNNNNNNNNNNNNNNNNNNNNNNNNNNNNNNNNNNNNNNNNNNNNNNNNNNNNNNNNNNNNNNNNNNNNNNNNNNNNNNNNNNNNNNNNNNNNNNNNNNNNNNNNNNNNNNNNNNNNNNNNNNNNNNNNNNNNNNNNNNNNNNNNNNNNNNNNNNNNNNNNNNNNNNNNNNNNNNNNNNNNNNNNNNNNNNNNNNNNNNNNNNNNNNNNNNNNNNNNNNNNNNNNNNNNNNNNNNNNNNNNNNNNNNNNNNNNNNNNNNNNNNNNNNNNNNNNNNNNNNNNNNNNNNNNNNNNNNNNNNNNNNNNNNNNNNNNNNNNNNNNNNNNNNNNNNNNNNNNNNNNNNNNNNNNNNNNNNNNNNNNNNNNNNNNNNNNNNNNNNNNNNNNNNNNNNNNNNNNNNNNNNNNNNNNNNNNNNNNNNNNNNNNNNNNNNNNNNNNNNNNNNNNNNNNNNNNNNNNNNNNNNNNNNNNNNNNNNNNNNAUUUGGGUAUGCCCCGUGAGUUUCUUGCUUUACCUGUUCAUGUAUCUACCCUAAUGGGCGAUACUGUUGUUGUAGACCGUGUGUACCGGUCAUGUGUGGUCACUAUUGGGGGUCUGAAGACCCAAGUGGAUCUAUUGCUAUUGAGCAUGGUGGAUUUUGAUGUCAUUUUGGGCAUGGAUUGACUAUCUCCAUGUCGUGCUAUUCUAGACUAUCAUGCUAAGAUAGUCACUUUGGCUAUGCCGGGUGUGCCGCAGAUCGAGUGGUGUAGUGUGAAUGAUUAUGUUCCUAGUAAAGGGAUCUCUAUCUUGAAGGCCCAGCGUAUAGUUGGGAAGGGUUUCCUUUCAUAUGUAGCGUUUGUGAGGGAUGUUGGAGCUAAGACUCCCAGUAUUGAUUCUGUCCUAGUUGUGAAGGAUUUUCCCGAUGUGUUUCCUGCAGACCUGCCGGGCAUGCCACCGGACAGGGAUAUUGAUUUUGGUAUUGACCUGGUGCCGGGCACUCAGCCCAUUUCUAUUCUGCAAUACCGUAUGGCACCAACGGAGUUGAAGGAGUUGAAAGAACAACUUCAGGAACUCCUAGAUAAGGGGUUUAUUCGGCCUAGUGUGUCACCUUAGGGUGUGCCCGUUCUGUUUGUGAAGAAGAAGGAUGACACAAUGAGAAUGUGUAUCGAUUAUAGGCAAUUCAACAAUGUAACAAUUAAGAAUAAGUAUCCUUUGCCUCGCAUUGAUGAUUUAUUUGAUCAGCUUCAGGGAGCGAGAGUGUUAUCCAAGAUUGAUCUCCGUUCGGUCUAUCACCAGUUGAAGAUCAGGGGUUCAGAUAUUCUUAAAACCGCUUUCAGGACCAGAUAUGGUCAUUAUGAGUUCCUUGUGAUGUCUUUCGGGCUAACCAAUGCCCCAACAACGUUUAUGCAUUUGAUGAACAACAUGUUCCGGCCUUAUCUUGAUUCAUUCAUGAUAGUAUUCAUUGAUGAUAUUCUAGUGUACUCGCGUAUUCAGGAGGACCAGGGAGCAUUUGAGAGUUGUAUUGCAGAGAUUGAGGGAGGAUAAGCUUUAUGCAAAAUUCUCCAAGUGUGAAUUUUGGCUCUGUUUAGUGGCUUUCUUGGGGCACGUGGUGUCCAGCGAGGGUAUUCAGGUUGAUCCAAAGAAGAUAGAAGCGGUUCAGAGUUGGCCCAGACCGUCUUCAGCCACAGAGAUUCGUAGCUUUGGUUUGGCAGGCUAGUAUCGCUGGUUUGUUUAGAGAGUCUCAUAUAUCGCAUCACCCUUGACCAAGUUGACUCAGAAGGGUGUUUUAUUUGUAUGGUCGGAUGAGUAUGAGGAGAGCUUUCAGAAGCUCAAGACAGCUUUGACCACAGCUCUAGUAUUGGUUUUGCCAUUAGCUUCAGGUUCAUAUACCGUGUAUUGUGAUACUUCGAGAGUUGGGAUUGGUUGUGUAUUGAUGCAGGAGGGUAGAGUUAUUACUUAUGCUUCUCGUCAGUUGAAUCCCCAUGAGAAGAACUACCCCAUUCACGAUUUGGAGUUGGCUGCUAUAGUUCAUGCAUUAAAGAUUUGGAGGCACUACUUGUAUAGAGUAUCUUGUGAGGUAUUCACUGAUCAUCGCAGUCUUCACUAUUUGUUCAAGCAAAAAGAUCUAAAUUUGAGGUAGCAAAGAUGGUUAGAGUUGAUUAAUAAUUAUGAUAUCACCAUAUUGUACCAUCCGGGAAAGGCCAAUGUAGUGGCCGAUGCUUUUAGCCGAAAGGCAGUGAGUAUGGGGAGUUUGGCAUAUAUUCCAAUUGGGGAGAGACCCCUUGCAGUUGAUGUUCGGUCCUUGGCCAAUCGGUUGUGAGAUUAUAUAUUUUAGAGCCCAACCGGGUGUUGGCUUGCGUGGUUUCUCGGUCUUCCUUAUUUGAUCGUAUCAGAAAGCGCUAGUAUGAUGAUCCGCAUCCUUAAUGAUAGAGUGCAACAUGAUGAUGCUAGAGACGUGACCAUUGGUGAUGAUAAUGUGUUGAGUAUGUAGGGACAGAUUUGUGUACCCAAUGUGGAUGGGCUUCGAGAGUUGAUUCUUGAGGAGGCCCAUAGGUUGCGGUAUUCUAUUCAUCCAGAUGCCGUGAAGAUGUACCAGGAUUUGAGGUAGCACUAUUGGUGGAGAAGAAUGAAGAAAGAUAUUGUGGGAUUUGUAGCUUGGUGUCUCAAUUGUCACUUGCUUCAGCAGAUAGUUAUUCUAGAGUGGAAGUGGAGCAUAUCACCAUGGACUUUGUAGUUUCACUCCUACGGACUUUGAAGAAGUUCGAUGCUAUUUGGGUGAUUUUGGAUCGGCUGACCAAGUCCGUACACUUCAUUCCUGUGUAUAUACCUAUUCUUCAGAGCGAUUAGCAAAGAUUUAUAUCUGAGAGAUUGUUUGCUUGCAUGGUGUCCCAGUUUCCAUCAUUUCAGAUAGGGGUACUCAAUUUACUUCGCAGUUUUGGAGAGUCAUGCAGUGAGAGUUGGGUACUCAGGUUGAGUUGAGCACAGGUUUUCACCCUCAGACGGACGGGCAGUCCAAGCGCACUAUUCAGAUAUUGGAGGACAUGUUAUGCACUUGUGUCAUUAAUUUUAGAGGAUCAUGGGAUCAGUUUCUACUGCUCACAAAGUUUGCUUAUAACAACAGUUAUCAGUCGAGUAUUCAGAUGGCUCCAUAUGAGGCUUUAUACGGGAGACGGUGUAGAUCUCUAGUCGGUUGGUUUGAGCCAGGUGAGGCUAGGCUUUUGGGUACAGACUUGGUGCAGGAUGCUUUAGAUAAGGUAAAGGUGAUUCAGGAGCAACUUCGUACAGCGCAGUUGAGACAAAAGAGUUAUGCUGACAAGAAGGUCUGUGAUGUGUCUUACAUGGUUAGGGAGAAAGUUCUAUUGAAAGUUUCACCCAUGAAGGGUGUUAUGAUAUUUGGGAAGAAGGGUAAAUUGAGUCAUCGAUUCAUUGGGCCUUUUGAGGUGCUUUGGAGGAUUGGGUGAGGUGGCUUAUGAGCUUGCAUUGCCACCCAGUUUGUCGAGUGUGCAUCCGGUAUUUCAUGUUUCUAUGCUCCGAAAGUAUAUUGGCGAUCCAUCUCAUGUUUUGGAUUUUAGCACGGUUCAGUUGGACGGUGAUUUGACUUAUGAUGUGGAGCCAGUGGCUAUUUUGGAGCGUUGGGUUCGAAAGUUGAGAUCAAAGGAUAUAGCUUUAGUGAAAUUGCAGUGGAGAGGUCAGCCCAUUGAGGAGGCUACCUGGGAGACCGAGUGGGAGAUGAGGAGCAGAUAUCCUCACCUAUUUGAGGCUUCAAGUAUGUUUCUUGACCCGUUCUUUUUCAAACAUUUGUUUAAGAGGGGGAAGAGUAAUGACCUACCCGGUCAUUUCAUGAGUUACCACUCUGUUAACCCUAUUUUUGCUUCUUUAUGUUUUGUUCAGCUGUAUUAUGUGGUAUCGGGUUGGUUGGUUCGGGUUCGGAGUGAUUUUGUAGAAGAAUGAGAUACUUAGUCUCUUUUGAGUAAGCUUAAGUUAAAAAAGUCAACAGGAUGUUGACUUAUAGGUAGAAGGUCUCGGAUGUGAAUUCUGAUGGUUUGGAUAGAUUAUUAGGUGAUUUGGGACUUAGGAGCGUGAUCAAAAUGUGUUUUGGAAGUCCAUGGAAGAUUUAGGCUUGAAUUGGAAAAAUUGGAAAUUUGGCAUUUUCCGGUCAGUAGUGGAAAUUUUGAUAUCGGGGUCAGAAUAGAAUUCCAAAAAUUGGAGUAGGUCCGUUGUGUAAUUUGGGACAUGUGAGCAAAAUUUCAGGUCAUUUGGACGAGGUUUGAUAGACUUUUUGAUCGAUUGAGGGAUUCAGAAGUUUUGGAAUCAUUAGGCUUGAAUCCCAGGGUGAUUUGAUGUUUUGAUGAUGUUUUGAGUGUUCCAAAGAUUGGAACAAGUUUGAAUGAUGUUAUGGGAUGUGUUGUCAUGUUUGGUUGAGGUUCUGAGGGCCUCGGGUGAGUUUCGGGUGGUUAACGGACCAAUCCUUGGUUUUGGAGAGUUGCAAAUUUUGCUGGUUUUUGUUGCAGAAGAAUUUGUUCUUCGCAUUCGCGAAGAUUGUCCCGCGUUCGCGAAGAAGAGCUGGGUCUAGGGGAGAAAAUUCUCUUCCUGUUCGUGAGUCAGGGGAUGCGUUUGCGUAGGUUUGGAUUCCAGUGAAUCACGAAAGCGUGAGAGGAGUCGUGUUCGCGUAGGGUAAAUUGGAGCAGCUGGGACCCCAGGAGUUUGUGCAUCGCGUUUGCGUAGGUAGGGUCACGUUCACGAUGGCUUGGGCAGCUGAAGCUUCGCGUUCGCGUGAAAGAAGUCGCGUUCGCAAAAAAGCAAUAAUUGGCAGUGAUUUUUGUGCUUCGCGAACGCGAGGCUUUGACCGCAUUCGUGAAGAAGGAAGCGUCUGGGCAGAAUCUUUAAGAUCAAAAACGAGGAUUUAGUUCAUAUUUUCAAAAACUCAUUAGAGAGCUUGGGAGAAGGUGACGUUAGAGAGGAUUUUCAAAGGAGUGAUUGGGGUAAGUGUUCUUCACUUGUUUUGGGCGAAAUUCCAUAAUUAUGUCUUGUCUUAUCAUUUAAUUUGAGAAUUUGGGGUAAAAAUUGGGAAAUAUGGAAGAAAAAUUGGAGAAUGGAUUUUUGGGAUUUGGAUGAGCUUUUGACAUUGGAUUGAUGAAUUUGAUAUGGGUAGACUAGUGAGCUAAUGGGUUUUCCAAUUUUGUGAUUUUUAUUAGAUUUUGAGAUGUGGGCCUGGGGGUUGGGUUUGGCUAAUUUCGGUAUUUUUGAGUUAAAUUGACAAUUUUCAUAUGGGUUUCAUUCCUUUAGCGUAUAUUGAUGAUAAUAUACUUAUUUUGGUUAGAUUCAGGGCAUUUGGACGCCGAAUCGAGAGGCAAGGGCGUCGCGGGCUUGGGGUAAGUAACUUUUACAAACUUGGUUUUGAGGGUUCAAAACCCCGAACUAUGUGUUCUAUGAUUGUUAUUGAGGUGACGCAAAUGCCAAAUGACUGUCGUGUGGGCAUGCACUGUGAGAAUUGCGGCCUGGAUUAUUCCGUGACACCUCUUAGUAACUCUUUCUUGUUGAUAUCCGUGUUUCUAUCCUGUGACUAAGGAAAUGUGCUGUGAAAACAUGCUAGAUAUCAUGUUAGGUCUUCACGCCGAUACUGUUGAGACCCGAGAGGUCGUUUCUUGUUGUCAUAUCAUUAUCUUCAUUGAUAUUCUGUACUCAGACCUAUUCAUGCAUUAUAUAUCAUGCCUCAGUCUCGAUUAUUGUUAUUUGGCACAUCAUAUCAUUGUUCGGGCUAGUAUUAUGACAUUGUGACCUCGUGUGUGUGAGACUGGAGAGUGAUGACUGAGUGAGGCCGAGAGUCCGGUUGUGAGUGGCAGUAUAUGGGAUCGGGUUGCACGCCGCAGCGGUUAUGUUGAUUAUUAUGGCAGCACUUGGGUUGUAUGAGCCUCUCCGGAGUCUGUAACACACCCCCCAGUGAGCGCAGUUGAUGAUAUUGAGGGAUGGAUCUUCCCUGGAUAUGGAUCUUGUCGAAGUGUUUAUACCUGGAGAUGGAUCUUUUCCACAGGGCUGGAAUAGCCUUCCUCGGUACUGGAUGAAUGUGGUCAGUGAUAUAUAUAUUCUGGGAUGGAUUUUCCCCUGGGCCGGAUGGCCAUAUAUAGUACCGAGGGGUUGAGCACUUGUUAGUGGAGGUACACGAAACAUUGAUCAUGCUAUCUGUGCAUUGGUACAUAGAGAUUUCAUGAGCUUUAUACUCCGUACUGUUUAGGCUGCAUUUAUUUACUAUUGAGUUUUUACUUGAACUAUAAGCAUGUCUACUUUUCUGUACAGUUUAAUGAGAUUAUCUGUUGAGGUUUGGUUCGUCACAACCUGUCAGUCCAUAGUUUGGACUUGUUAUUUACUGAGUUGGUGUACUCACAUUACCUCCUGCACCUUGUGUGCAGAUCCAGGUAUCUCUGGUCACGGUAGCGGUUGCUGAUCAUUUCAGUGGUGGACUUUUUCCUAAGA